CCUACGGGAGGCAGCAGUGGGGAAUCUUGGUCAAUGGGCGCAAGCCUGAACCAGCGACGCCGCGUGAGUGAUGAAGGCCUUCGGGUUGUAAAGCUCUGUGGGGAGAGACGAAAGAAUCGGUUCUAACAGGACCGAAGUUGACGGUAUCUCCUUAGCAAGCACCGGCUAACUCUGUGCCAGCAGCCGCGGUAAGACAGAGGGUGCAAACGUUGCUCGGAAUCACUGGGCGUAAAGGGCGUGUAGGCGGGUAGAUAAGUCGGGCGUGAAAUCCCUAGGCUCAACCUAGGAACUGCACUCGAAACUGUUUAUCUUGAGUGCCGGAGAGGAAAGCGGAAUUCCUGGUGUAGAGGUGAAAUUCGUAGAUACCAGGAGGAACACCAGUGGCGAAGGCGGCUUUCUGGACGGUAACUGACGCUGAGACGCGAAAGCGUGGGGAGCAAACAGGAUUAGAUACCCUGGUAGUCCACGCUGUAAACGAUGAGUGCUAGGUGUCGUGGGUAUUGACCCCCGCGGUGCCGAAGCUAACGCAUUAAGCACNCCGCCGUGGAGUACGGUCGCGAGACGAAACUACAAGAAGUAGACGGCGUGAGACGUGCCGACGGACGACGACGAGGGAGGAGG
Molecule: ribosomal RNA, 621 nt
Filed under: uncultured bacterium
Lineage: Bacteria
Description: bacterial SSU rRNA
Rfam family: Bacterial small subunit ribosomal RNA
Source: RNAcentral